GCUGGUGGCUCUGGGGCUGUAGGCCCCUACACAGCCUCUCCUUCCCACCACACGCCCUGUGGUGUCCCCACCACCUUUUCAGCCUGGCAAACUCUUCUGCAACCGACAUUUCCCUGGAGGCUGUCCCUCUAGCACACACAGCAUGGCCCCAAGUUGGUUUCCCAGAUCCAUUAUGGCUGCAAGCCCAGCAGAAACAGCAGUUCUGCAACUUUUCUCUGUCUGGGGGUUGCUGGUGGUUGCACGGAGCAAGGAUGUGGGUGAGGAAGGCCCAGGGGAGGAAGGCUCUCUGCACUGGGGCCUGCAGGCUGCAGGAUGACCCUGCUGCCCUCCUUCCUUCAGCCCUUUCCUCCCCUCCGGGUGCAGCAAGGAGAAGUGUAUGCAAGGCUCAGAGCAUUUGCUAGGGUGGGAAGAAGGCUUUCUCCCUUUCAAUCCCUGAUGGUAAUCUUGGAAAGCAUUGAGGUAAGUUAAGAAAGCGAUUCUAAUGAAUGUGAUAUUCUCCAAGGAAAUAGGCACAAACUGCAACCUAGAGUGGUGCCAGCAAAGCCAGUCACCUCAGCUCUCACUGCUGCCUGCUGGGUUGAGAGAAGUGCUGUUAACAUGUGAAGUUUUAAGCAUAUUUUGGGAAACUCUAGUAAUACUGCCUAAAUCAAUCCUCGUUUUCCUAUGGAUUUAUGAAAUGGUUCAUCUUCCCCGUCAGCCAUGUGUGUUGCGGUAAAUUUAUUUCCCCAUGAGCAGAAGCAGGAAACUUGGCCCCAAGUCUGAGGUAUAUGCUCCCCUGUACAGAAACAGAACGGUAGGUCGUGUUUCCCUUGUUAUUGACCAAGGGCAGUCUUAGGUGGGAUUGUGAGAUGCUUCAGUGAGAUAAAUCACCUUUUCUCCAAAAAUAUACUCAACUAUUCCAUGUAGUAUUACCAUGAAACAUAUUUCUUCAUCAUAGCAGAUGCCACAACUCUGUAGCAAAGCAGUUAGCACAGCAACUUCUGCAAAUCCUCCUCGCAUCUACUUGCCAUUCUCAUUCAUGAUGGUCCUUUUAGAUCUUUUGACAUCCCUGUAUAUAUCAAGUUGUUCCUAGCACUUGUCCUCUGCACACUAAAUCUCUUGCAGACUUUUGUGUUUCUUGCAAAAUAGUCCCUGCUUUUACUGAUUUGCUGUCUUUUAAAUUAUAUGGAAAGAAUGCUGUAAGGGAAGGUGAAUUUUUCAUCUUCAAGUACUUCUAUGUUUUAACUCUUUUACACUUGUCUAGUCCUACAUCCAGCGUCAUCAGCUAAAAGCAAACUCAGAGAGACUCCUUCCACCUAUUUCACUCUUCUUCUCCACAUCUCGGGAAGCAUAAGCUCUAUGCUGUUUUCUCUCUCCCCCUGCCAUUUUGUCAGAACUGGGCAGAGAUGCGUGACUGCUGAAGUAUGCUGUUUCCAGCGAUGUUUCUCACUGAGGUGAAAAUUUAGUUCUAAAUAACAUACCCAGACCUAAUGCAAAUAAUGAGGGUAUUCCAGUCUUGUUCCUCUGGCAGACUCCUGCAUCAAUGGUUCUCGAUAACAAGAAUCAUG
Gallus gallus (chicken) is the source of this 1547-nucleotide long non-coding RNA. The record is from Ensembl. NCBI's taxonomy places the organism in Eukaryota, Metazoa, Chordata, Aves, Galliformes, Phasianidae.